Long non-coding RNA from Polistes canadensis, 859 nucleotides. RefSeq lists it as uncharacterized. The transcript has 2 exons. The record is from RefSeq and is a predicted model, not a curated record. NCBI's taxonomy places the organism in Eukaryota, Metazoa, Arthropoda, Insecta, Hymenoptera, Vespidae.
UGAACGAAACAAAAUACAGUUUGUAUGAUAGUCUAUGAAUUUUGUAUUUUUAUAGCAGCUAAAUCGUAUAAUUGUUUAAGAAAACGUAAUUUUGCGUAACUGCAUUUUUUCUGUUUCUCGGACCACUUAAAUACUUUUUUAAGAGCAUUGAAUGCUUCCAAGUGAGAAGGUACUUCUUCAAAAUUAUUUUCACAGUGUACUAUCAUCGAUUUGCAUCUAGGAACUGAUUUUUUACAUCGAGAAACUAAAAUUUUCUUUUGUACCAAUGCUUUUUGUAUUAGGCUUUUAUUAUUUUCAUUAUAGGAAUCUUAUCUGUUGCAACUUUGUUUCCACCAGCACCUAUUUUUUGGAUACCAUGACACAAUAUAAAUGAUAUUUUCAUUUGAUCAGAAAAUUGUGUAGAAUACAUACACUCGACACACAAGAACAUUGUUUGAACAGAAUGUUCCGAUAAUCAGGGCUUUAACAUGCAAGAUUCAAUUGCUGUUUUAUUGAUGCCAGAUAAAAAUAAUUAUACAUUAUAUCAUACACAAAAAUAGUAACAUUUUAAAAUUAUAUAUAUCAUAUAAUUUAUAUUUUCAAUUUAAUACUCUUAGCUUAUAUCAUUGUAUUACAAUAAUAUGAAUAUAUUUUUAUUUAAUAAUGACAAUCCAUUAGAAGAUUACCAGCUUGAUCUUUAAGUCUUACUCUACCAUUAGAAUAACGUGUCUCUUGUAUACCAUCUGGAUAAAUCAAUUUAACUGUACCAUCAGGAUAUUCUCGUCUCUAGAAAAAAAAAUAUAUUUCUAUGUUUAAUUUUAUUUUUAACAGGAUUGACAACAAAUUAUUAAUAUUAAAUAAAUGGUUUAAUUCAUUGUAA